Molecule: long non-coding RNA, 335 nt
Filed under: Mus pahari (shrew mouse)
Lineage: Eukaryota; Metazoa; Chordata; Mammalia; Rodentia; Muridae
Description: lncRNA (MGP_PahariEiJ_G0004382.1)
Source: RNAcentral
UGACCAUUCAUUAACCUCUGUGUGCUGGGUUUACCACACACACUGUGAUCUGAAUCUGACCCAUGAGAGCCCAGGCUGGACCCUCUCACAGCUGACCUACACUACAGAACACCAGUAGCAAGUUCAGAUCAGCAACACUCACACUACGAGCUAUCAUGCUGUCGAGUGGGGUACUUGAAGACCUCGUGGACUAGCUGAAGGGCCAGAAAUCCAAUACAUCAAGAAGUCUGAGUCUGGUGCCAUGGUUCCCUGAGCUUCCUGUCCAUUCCUACCUGCUGCUUGCCGCCAUGCCUCUGCUGCUCCAGCAGGAACUCUAACCCUCUAGGAACUUCGAA